CUAGUGGUGGACUCCAUUUCUCAGCAGAAAGCCGUCCCCUUCACCUCCACCUCAACAACACUGGAUACACUUUACAUAGGAGGGACAAGAAAGCAGAACCGAGCCCCCGUGCGCUCGCCAUUUGUAGGCUGCUUACGAAAUGUGAAGCUUAAUGGAAGACCGGUUGCAUUUGAGACAGGAUCCAGGGUGGUUGACCCUGUCAGCAUUAAUAGUUGCCCUGCAGACUAAGGCCGUGUCAUUAACGGGUGACACGCAAACUUCUUUAACCGCACAGACCCUUUGGCAUCAUUAAAAAGUCAUAUUAUGCAGACAGGCUUAGGUAAAAACCCACAGAAAUUAAUUUGAAAUUCUAUUAGGCAAGCACAGUCCCCCGUAAUAUAAUGUUGCUACACCUUUCAACUUUUCCAGUUUUGCACAGUACAUGUGCAGUUUAUAACGAUUACAUGUCAGAUUUACCACUCAAAGUAAGUAAGCCUUAGUCAAACUAAAUUUAGAAACAAAGGUCCUGAAUUCAGUCACAGGAAGACAAACACAGGCUUCUCAUUUCUAGCUGGCGACCGUUUAAUGUGUCAGCUGAAAUAACAUCUAUUGCUAGUAAAUUUAACCAACUGUAGCCAGCUAAUUAAGCUAAUGUUAACUUAAUGAGUUGGUUGAAAACGACAUCUUCAGUUGGCUUUUUAAUGAUUAAAGAUGACUUUAAAAUGAGAA
This is a long non-coding RNA of Perca flavescens (yellow perch), 708 nucleotides long. RefSeq lists it as uncharacterized. The transcript is spliced from 2 exons. NCBI's taxonomy places the organism in Eukaryota, Metazoa, Chordata, Actinopteri, Perciformes, Percidae. The record is from RefSeq and is a predicted model, not a curated record.